Molecule: ribosomal RNA, 408 nt
Filed under: uncultured Pseudomonas sp.
Lineage: Bacteria; Pseudomonadati; Pseudomonadota; Gammaproteobacteria; Pseudomonadales; Pseudomonadaceae
Description: bacterial SSU rRNA
Rfam family: Bacterial small subunit ribosomal RNA
Source: RNAcentral
GGCCUUGACAUGCAGAGUAACUUUCCAGAGAUGGAUUGGUGCCGUUCGGGAACCCUGACACAGGUGCUGCAUGGCUGUCGUCAGCUCGUGUCGUGAGAUGUUGGGUUAAGUCCCGUAACGAGCGCAACCCUUGUCCUUAGUUACCAGCACGUUAUGGUGGGCACUCUAAGGAGACUGCCGGUGACAAACCGAAGGAAGGUGGGGAUGACGCCAAGUCAUCAUGGCCCUUACGGCCUGGGCUACACACGUGCUACAAUGGUCGGUACAAAGGGUUGCCAAGCCGCGAGGUGGAGCUAAUCCCAUAAAACCGAUCGUAGUCCGGAUCGCAGUCUGCAACUCGACUGCGUGAAGUCGGAAUCGCUAGUAAUCGUGAAUCAGAAUGUCACGGUGAAUACGUUCCCGGGCCUU